GGGGAUUUGGCUCAGUGGUAGAGCGCUUGCCUAGCGAGCGCAAGGCCCUGGGUUCAGUCCCCA
RNAcentral lists this transfer RNA (63 nucleotides) under Rattus norvegicus (Norway rat). It matches the Rfam family "tRNA". Rfam says of the family: Transfer RNA (tRNA) molecules are approximately 80 nucleotides in length. The record is from Rfam by way of RNAcentral. Lineage: Eukaryota; Metazoa; Chordata; Mammalia; Rodentia; Muridae.